Myotis lucifugus (little brown bat) is the source of this 658-nucleotide RNA transcript. It is a transcript of the gene named tubulin-specific chaperone D-like, with no coding region annotated. The transcript is spliced from 5 exons. Lineage: Eukaryota; Metazoa; Chordata; Mammalia; Chiroptera; Vespertilionidae. The record is from RefSeq and is a predicted model, not a curated record.
CCUCAGGGUGGCCCCUGGGCUCACGGCAUGUCCUUUCCCUGCAGGGUGUCCGUGCCGCUGCUCAAGAUGCUGGACCAAGAUGCUGGCCAACGGCUGCUUCGACAUCUUCACGGCAGAGGAGGACCACCCCUUUUGUGUGAAGCUGCUGGAGCUUUGUAAGGCGGAAACCAGCAAGUCCAAGGACGUCCAGAAACUGCGGUCCAGCAUCACCGUAUCCGCAAGACGACAGCGAGCCAGGUGUACGAGAUGCUGCUCACCUACAGCGGCGUGGUGGGCGCGGACGUCCUGGACGAGGUCAUGGCUGUGCUCAGCGACACCGCCUGGGACUUGGAGCUCCUGCUCGUAAGAGGCCAUCGGAACCGCCUGUGUGACCUCCUCGGGGUGCCCAGACCUCAGCUGGUCCCCAAGCCUGCUGUCCGCUGAGGCCAGUCCUGGGAGCCGAGUAGCGCUUGUGCCGUCUGCUGGGAGGAGCCGCCAGAUGCCGCUCAGGACAGGAAACCUGGUGCAGGACCCCGGCCCUGGCUGAAACGUGUGCGGAGGAGUCGUCACCACAGGCGCUCUUUAUUACGGGCGUCUGCGCUCUAGUGACCCCAUGUCGGUGCUUUUGUCUGUUUAAACUCGAGUCCACGUCUUAUAAAAUCACGUGCUGAGCAGUCUA